CUGGACUGCGACCUAUCAGGCUGUUGGUGGUGUGACGGACCACCAAACCUACGACGGGUACGGGCGAUGGGAGUCGGAGCCCGGAGAUGGGGACUGAGACAAGGCCCCAGGCCCUACGGGGCGCAGCAGGCGCGAAAACUCCGCAAUGCGCGCAAGCGUGACGGGGGAAUCCCAAGUGCCGUUGGUCUUUUGAUCGACGGCUUUUCGGAAGUUUAAGAAGCUUCCGGAAUAAGGGCUGGGUAAGACUGGUGCCAGCCGCCGCGGUAACACCAGCAGCCCAAGUAGUGGCCGCGAUUAUUGGGCCUAAAGCGCUCGUAGCCGGGCCAGCAAGUCCUUUGUGAAAUCGGGCCGCCCAACGGUUCGGCGUGCAAAGGAUACUGUUGGCCUUGAGGCCGGGAGAGGUUUGAGGUACUCCUGGGGUAGCGGUGAAAUGCUCUAAUCCUGGGGGGACCACCAGUGGCGAAGGCGUCCGACCANAACGGACCUGACGGUGAGGGGCGAAGGCUAGGGGAGCGAACGGGAUUAGAUACCCCGGUAGUCCUAGCUGUAAAGCAUGCGGGCUAGGUGUCUAGCGCUCCUCGAGGGCGCUAGGUGCCGGAGGGAAGCCGUUAAGCCCGCCGCCUGGGAAGUACGGCCGCA
Molecule: ribosomal RNA, 639 nt
Filed under: uncultured archaeon
Lineage: Archaea
Description: bacterial SSU rRNA
Rfam family: Archaeal small subunit ribosomal RNA
Source: RNAcentral